Molecule: ribosomal RNA, 487 nt
Filed under: uncultured Desulfobulbus sp.
Lineage: Bacteria; Pseudomonadati; Thermodesulfobacteriota; Desulfobulbia; Desulfobulbales; Desulfobulbaceae
Description: bacterial SSU rRNA
Rfam family: Bacterial small subunit ribosomal RNA
Source: RNAcentral
GAAACUUAAAGGAAUUGGACGGGGGCCUGCACAAGCGGUGGAGCAUGUGGUUUAAUCGAAGCAACGCGCAGAACCUUACCAGCGUUUGACAUGGUAGGACGACUGGCAGAGAUGCCUUUCUUCCCUUCGGGGACCUACACACAGGUGCUGCAUGGCUGUCGUCAGCUCGUGUCGUGAGAUGUUGGGUUAAGUCCCGCAACGAGCGCAACCCUCGACUUUAGUUGCCAGCAGUUCGGCUGGGCACUCUAAAGGGACUGCCGGUGUUAAACCGGAGAAGGUGGGGAUGACGUCAAGUCCUCAUGGCCUUUAUGACCAGGGCUACACACGUACUACAAUGGCCGAUACAAAGGGCAUCGACACUGCGAGGUGAAGCCAAUCCCGUAAAAUCGGUCUCAGUCCGGAUUGGAGUCUGCAACUCGACUCCAUGAAGUUGGAAUCGCUAGUAAUCGUGGAUCAGCAUGCCACGGUGAAUACGUUCCCGGGCCUU